RNAcentral lists this ribosomal RNA (486 nucleotides) under uncultured bacterium. Its description in RNAcentral is "partial 16S ribosomal RNA". It matches the Rfam family "Bacterial small subunit ribosomal RNA", at positions 28 to 507 of the family's 1533-position model. The record is from RNAcentral.
GAUGAACGCUGGCGGCGUGCCUAAUACAUGCAAGUCGAACGCUGGAAAUCUAGCUUGCUAGAUUGAAGGAGUGGCGAACGGGUGAGUAAUACAUAAGCAACCUACCCACGAAGACUGGGAUAAUCUCUGGAAACGGGGACUAAUACCGGAUAGGUAAUCGGAAGGCAUCUUCUGAUUAUUAAAGGUUAAAAACACUGGUGGAUGGGCUUAUGGCGCAUUAGUUAGUUGGUGAGGUAACGGCCCACCAAGACGAUGAUGCGUAGCCGGCCUGAGAGGGUGAACGGCCACAUUGGGACUGAGACACGGCCCAGACUCCUACGGGAGGCAGCAGUAGGGAAUUUUCGGCAAUGGGGGAAACCCUGACCGAGCAACGCCGCGUGAGUGAUGACGGCCUUCGGGUUGUAAAGCUCUGUUGUAAGGGAAGAACGGUAGAUAGAGAAUAUCUAAAUGACGGUACCUUACCAGAAAGCCACGGCUAACUACGUG